This is a non-coding RNA of Camelina sativa (false flax), 673 nucleotides long. NCBI's taxonomy places the organism in Eukaryota, Viridiplantae, Streptophyta, Magnoliopsida, Brassicales, Brassicaceae. The record is from RefSeq and is a predicted model, not a curated record.
UCAUUGUUAAAAUCGAUCGUUCUUAAUCUUAGGUGGAUACAUAAUAGUCUUCUUCUUCUUCUUUCUGUCGAUAGAUUUGAGUACUUAACCUCAGAACAAAAUCAUGGAACAUCUCGAUAACAACUUUUUUUUUUAACGCGAUUUGGAAUUCUUCUCAAGUUGGAGCGUAAUAUUCAUCUUUCUGAUGGGAAUCGAUUCGGCUCGUGAGAGAUCAUUGGUCACGGACAAUAGCGAGCUCAAAGAGCCUUGUGAAGCAGAUGUUGGAACCUGAUCCCACUAAGCGUUCGACUCCUCAGCAAGUAUUUGUGUAUCCUUUUGCAGGAAGAGCAACGGGUUAUAGAAACCAAAAUAAGGAUAAGGCAUAAGGAAAUGCAGGCUGAUGAAGAGAAAAUGCAGAAACGUCUGGAAUCAUGUUCCUCUAGCACAAGCGCAAUGACUGGCGAAAUGGAAUAUGGUUCAGCUUCAUGUCGGUUUAUUUGCCCUGCCAGAACGUAUCAGGAACAAAUGGUGUCACAAAGGCAGUUUUGAUAGACUUUGUUUUUAAAUUAGAGAAAGAAGAGAUACCAUCAUUGUUUUGGACCAUGCACCUAAAAGGGUAUGUAUCAUCUCAUCUGAUACCAUUUUUUCUAUUCAUUGGAUAUAUCUAUUUAUUUAGUCGACAUUCAUGGCCUGA